RNAcentral lists this long non-coding RNA (239 nucleotides) under Brassica napus (rape). Its description in RNAcentral is "long non-coding RNA (BNAP_LNC008587)". The record is from RNAcentral. Lineage: Eukaryota; Viridiplantae; Streptophyta; Magnoliopsida; Brassicales; Brassicaceae.
UUUUCUAUAUGUAUAUACUCGAUGACUUAGUUUUGAAAAUAAAAGAAAAUUGACGUAUGAAGUUUUUAAAUUGAAAAUAUAAAUUAUACUCAUUCUGUUUCAGAAAGAUCCAUACUCUAAAAAAACAAUUAUUUCAAAAAGAUACAUUAUUAUUUUUUAAUGUAUUAUUUAAUGAAAAAUUAUAAAUUUCAAAAAAAAUUAAUGGUGUUUAUUGAAUUUCUAUUGGCUAAAAGUUAUGG